Lucilia cuprina (Australian sheep blowfly) is the source of this 433-nucleotide long non-coding RNA. RefSeq lists it as uncharacterized. The record is from RefSeq and is a predicted model, not a curated record. The transcript is spliced from 2 exons. Lineage: Eukaryota; Metazoa; Arthropoda; Insecta; Diptera; Calliphoridae.
AUGACAGCUGUUGUGAAAACAAUUUCAGUGUUUUAACAAAGUUAACUAGAUUUAAUGAAGUUUGGAAAAAUACAAACAUAAAGAAAUACAUAAACAUAUAAACUAAAAUAAUACGAUUAAUUUUUCUAAUUAUUGCACCAAAUAAAGAUGUUUCUCCAAUCGGUUUGCUUCAAACUCAUUAGUAUGCUAAACUUAAACUGACAUCUCAACCCCACAAUUAAUAACUGUCUUUAUUAACCCCAUAUAUGAAAGAUCAAUAAAUUUCAAAGCCAAGGUCAAAUAUAAUGAACAAAAACAAAAAAUAUAGUAUUGCCGCCAGCUAACAACGUGUGGACAUUUAUGGAAAAUUAUUUUAUUACUACAACUCUUGUAAAACGAAUAAUCAAACACAAAUUUAUCAAUAUUAAUAAAAACUUAGGCCCAAAAUUAAGAG